UGUGUUUAUCACCGCAGUUGUAACCUCUAUAAUUAUACCAUGUGAUGAAGCCGCUCGCGAACAUAGCUCACACAGAGGAUCUGUGGAAAAUAUGUAUAAUUCAUGGUGUUGAUCGUAUUUUUAGCUGCUCCGGCUUGUUGUUCGGAGACAGGGAUGUAGCGUUAAACAAGGGCUACUUUGUAAUGAAGAUGAGGAUCUACUCCUUGACUGAACAGUUUGUUUUCCUCCUCUUUUAACGUUAGCCCGCUGCCUGCUGGGAGGCUGCGCUGAAAGAGGUGGCGCCUUGGGUUUUUCUGGGGGGGUUAAUUUGAAGUUUCCCCGUCUGUAUUAUUUUCAAAGCCAGCAGGGGUCUCGCCUGGCAACUCUACACUCUCGGCCAAUCACAGUGAAGCUCUUUGGCCACUGUCCAUGACUUGUUUCUUAAACAAGGGUUUAGGACCUAAAAUGGGCCACAGAUUUGAAACAAAUAACACAUAACAACUUUCACACAAGGACGACCUUGAAAGAACUUUCCUGAAAUAUUGCACCCAGAUUCAUCAAUAUGCCUCAGCUCUCUCCAUCCCAGGAUCAACACACAUCCAGGGGAUAAACCUGCGAUGGAGAUUUGCAUUGAUAUGACAGCAGUUUGAAAAUGCUUUCCUCAGGAUUUCUUCUCUUGACAAGAUCAUGAGUAAAAGAUGAGGCCUGUGUGAUUGUAAAUUUUUGACCAGUUUCAUGUAUUAACUCUAAAUAUGCAGUUGAACGAUGACCUGAAUUCCACCAAAUGAAAGAUUAAAAAGCCUCAUGAAUUUAAUUUCAUGAGGAAAUCCUUCUCACCAAACCAAAAGUAUGUCCUCACUAGUAUAACAACACAAGCACAGACUGUGUGCUGUGUGUGUGUGUGUGUGUGUGUGUGUGAGAGUGUGUGUGUGUGUGUGUGUGUGUGUGUGUGUGUGUCAGUGUGUGUGAAAGCGAUAGAACGGGAGAUUGAUGGUAAUGUGGAGGAAAAGCAAGAUUGACUUGGGGAAUUUUUUUCUGCUUUAUUUGAGUGUAUAGAAAAUGAGGAAACAAAAUAGUUCUGGUGGGGAACAAAAUAAUAUAAAGGGGCUUAUAAAAACACAAGAAACAGAGAAAGUAAAAACGAGACGACAAAUACAGAAACUAGAUUAAGGGAGUCCGCCGCUUUAAUGUCUAAAGUUUUACACUACAUUAUCAGCAUUUAUCAGCAUUCAAACAGACAGAUACAUCUUGGCCUGCUCCUAAACUGUGAAUUUAUACGAUCUUCCUGCUGAUUGUGGGAAUUGUCUUAAGCAGUCUACCCAAGAGAUAUAAAUAAUUGUACAAGAUUACCAGAGUAACAUGUAUGUAAAAUGUGUAUGAGUGAACACAGCAACUACACAACCGACCCUUCCACCCCUGCCUUCUCCCAUCCCCUUAUCUUGUACUUCAUGAGUAUUGGUAAUUAAUUUCUUAGUGUCUUUUUUGUUAUGUUGCCCAUAC
This is a long non-coding RNA of Siniperca chuatsi (mandarin fish), 1479 nucleotides long. RefSeq lists it as uncharacterized. The record is from RefSeq and is a predicted model, not a curated record. The transcript is spliced from 3 exons. Lineage: Eukaryota; Metazoa; Chordata; Actinopteri; Centrarchiformes; Sinipercidae.